UGGGGAUAUUGCGCAAUGGGGGCAACCCUGACGCAGCAACGCCGCGUGAAGGAUGAAGGUUUUCGGAUUGUAAACUUCUUUUAUUAAGGACGAAUAAUGACGGUACUUAAUGAAUAAGCUCCGGCUAACUACGUGCCAGCAGCCGCGGUAAUACGUAGGGAGCAAGCGUUGUCCGGAUUUACUGGGUGUAAAGGGUGCGUAGGCGGCUAAGCAAGUCAGAUGUGAAAUCUAUGGGCUCAACCCAUAAACUGCAUUUGAAACUGCAUAGCUUGAGUGAAGUAGAGGCAGGCGGAAUUCCCCGUGUAGCGGUGAAAUGCAUAGAUAUGACGCAGAACUCCGAUUGCGAAGGCAGCUUUCCAGCGCGCUACUGACGCUGAGGCACGAAAGCGUGGGGAUCGAACAGGAUUAGAUACCCUGGUAGU
This 422-nucleotide ribosomal RNA is filed under the name uncultured Ruminococcus sp. Its description in RNAcentral is "bacterial SSU rRNA". It matches the Rfam family "Bacterial small subunit ribosomal RNA", at positions 356 to 794 of the family's 1533-position model. Lineage: Bacteria; Bacillati; Bacillota; Clostridia; Eubacteriales; Oscillospiraceae. The record is from RNAcentral.